RNAcentral lists this ribosomal RNA (465 nucleotides) under Vreelandella stevensii. RNAcentral's name for it is "partial 16S ribosomal RNA". It matches the Rfam family "Bacterial small subunit ribosomal RNA", at positions 338 to 795 of the family's 1533-position model. Lineage: Bacteria; Pseudomonadati; Pseudomonadota; Gammaproteobacteria; Oceanospirillales; Halomonadaceae. The record is from RNAcentral.
CCUACGGGAGGCAGCAGUGGGGAAUAUUGGACAAUGGGGGCAACCCUGAUCCAGCCAUGCCGCGUGUGUGAAGAAGGCCCUCGGGUUGUAAAGCACUUUCAGUGAGGAAGAACGCCUGGUGGUUAAUACCCAUCAGGAAAGACAUCACUCACAGAAGAAGCACCGGCUAACUCCGUGCCAGCAGCCGCGGUAAUACGGAGGGUGCGAGCGUUAAUCGGAAUUACUGGGCGUAAAGCGCGCGUAGGUGGCUUGAUAAGCCGGUUGUGAAAGCCCCGGGCUCAACCUGGGAACGGCAUCCGGAACUGUCAAGCUAGAGUGCAGGAGAGGAAGGUAGAAUUCCCGGUGUAGCGGUGAAAUGCGUAGCGAUCGGGAGGAAUACCAGUGGCGAAGGCGGCCUUCUGGACUGACACUGACACUGAGGUGCGAAAGCGUGGGUAGCAAACAGGAUUAGAUACCCGUGUAGUC